Molecule: transfer RNA, 64 nt
Filed under: Paracladura trichoptera
Lineage: Eukaryota; Metazoa; Arthropoda; Insecta; Diptera; Trichoceridae
Description: tRNA-Leu
Source: RNAcentral
UCUAUUAUGGCAGAAAAAUGUAAUGGCCUUAAACCCCAUAUAUAAAGAAUAUAUCUUUUUUUAG